CCGGAGUGGACGCAUCACUGGUGUUCGGGUUGUCAUGCCAAUGGCAUUGCCCGGUAGCUAAAUGCGGAAGAGAUAAGUGCUGAAAGCAUCUAAGCACGAAACUUGCCCCGAGAUGAGUUCUCCCUGACUCCUUGAGAGUCCUGAAGGAACGUUAAAGACGAUGACGUUGAUAGGUCGGGUGUGUAAGCGUAGCGAUACGUUGAGCUAACCGAUACUAAUGAACCGUGAGGCUUAACCUU
Molecule: ribosomal RNA, 239 nt
Filed under: Citrobacter freundii
Lineage: Bacteria; Pseudomonadati; Pseudomonadota; Gammaproteobacteria; Enterobacterales; Enterobacteriaceae
Also listed under: 1 other name
Description: partial 23S ribosomal RNA
Rfam family: Bacterial large subunit ribosomal RNA
Source: RNAcentral